RNAcentral lists this transfer RNA (82 nucleotides) under Enterococcus faecium E1162. RNAcentral's name for it is "tRNA-Tyr". It matches the Rfam family "tRNA". Rfam says of the family: Transfer RNA (tRNA) molecules are approximately 80 nucleotides in length. Lineage: Bacteria; Bacillati; Bacillota; Bacilli; Lactobacillales; Enterococcaceae. The record is from RNAcentral. RNAcentral also lists the same sequence under 2 other names.
CGGAGGAGUAGCGAAGUGGCUAAACGCGACGGACUGUAAAUCCGUUCCUUAGGGUUCAGUGGUUCGAAUCCACUCUCCUCCA